CCUGACUGAAGUAGUGUCAUUUAAAAUAGAGCAAAGCAGCAUGAACUCCCUUCUCUUUAUACCAUGUGACCUGACUCCAUCUGCACAAUAAACUCAGCUCUUUAAACAUUAAAAAACCGGACUGGAUGUUCAAUCCAGAGAUCUGUGAGUCAGUCCUUCCAGAUCAAAACGAGCCUGUCAGAUAUCCACGAUGAUGUUCUUACUGCAACCAGUGAUGUCACUUUCGUCGCUCCUGAAUGUCGGGCUUUAAAAGUCAGAUAUUGACGAUACUCUUUCCACCCAGAACAAACCUUUGGGGUUGACUGCUUUAUACUGAAGAUGGAGAGAGGAUCAUUUAUCUGCAGCCACAGUUGAAAUUAAAAGCCUGAACAGCAACAGUGAGGCCGUCUGUCCAUAGCGUCCAGAGAUGACACCAGAGAGGAACGAACAGAGUCGGACACAGUCGGCCUCGUGACUCAACAAGCUGAGAGAAGUCUGAACCUGGAAUGAUGAGCCGCUCCUCUUAAUUGGACUCGGUGUUCUGACCCAGUUGCUGUGUUGCCCCCAGUGAAAUGUGGGCACUGAUCUGAUGCACUGUACAUAAUCACAUGCCAACACACUUCAGUGUUAACAGACUCAAGAUGAAAAAUAAGUCAUAAAUACAACCGAAUUUCACAACUUCUGUCGACAUGUAAAACUUAAAACCAAUUAAAAAGUGUGAAAUCAGGA
Long non-coding RNA from Notolabrus celidotus (New Zealand spotty), 708 nucleotides. RefSeq lists it as uncharacterized. The record is from RefSeq and is a predicted model, not a curated record. The transcript has 2 exons. NCBI's taxonomy places the organism in Eukaryota, Metazoa, Chordata, Actinopteri, Labriformes, Labridae.